RNAcentral lists this unclassified non-coding RNA (339 nucleotides) under soil metagenome. RNAcentral's name for it is "partial contains 5.8S ribosomal RNA, internal transcribed spacer 2, and large subunit ribosomal RNA". The stretch from base 1 to 120 matches the Rfam family "5.8S ribosomal RNA", at positions 35 to 154 of the family's 154-position model. The record is from RNAcentral.
GAUGAAGAACGUAGCGAAAUGCGAUAACUAAUGUGAAUUGCAGAAUUCAGUGAAUCAUCGAGUCUUUGAACGCACAUUGCGCCCCCUGGUAUUCCGGGGGGCAUGCCUGUCCGAGCGUCAUUGCUGCCCUCAAGCACGGCUUGUGUGUUGGGCUCCGUCCCCCCGGGGACGGGCCCGAAAGGCAGCGGCGGCACCGAGUCCGGUCCUCGAGCGUAUGGGGCUUUGUCACCCGCUCUGUAGGCCCGGCCGGCGCCAGCCGACAACCCGUCAUCCUUUUCAGGUUGACCUCGGAUCAGGUAGGGAUACCCGCUGAACUUAAGCAUAUCAAUAAGCGGAGGA